CACGCAGGCGGAUUGAUAAGUCGGGGGUGAAAUCCCGGGGCUCAACCUCGGAAUUGCCUUCGAUACUGUUAGUCUUGAGUCCGGGAGAGGUGAGUGGAAUUCCUAGUGUAGAGGUGAAAUUCGUAGAUAUUAGGAAGAACACCUGUGGCGAAGGCGGCCACCUGGUUGGAUACUGACGCUGAGACGCGAAAGCGUGGGGAGCAAACA
RNAcentral lists this ribosomal RNA (207 nucleotides) under uncultured bacterium. RNAcentral describes it as "partial 16S ribosomal RNA". It matches the Rfam family "Bacterial small subunit ribosomal RNA", at positions 568 to 774 of the family's 1533-position model. The record is from RNAcentral.